GCGAUUUUACUAAAAACGAAUAUUUGAGCACUAAUCUCGCGCAGUUCAAAGCAAUUCGAUCAAAUAAUCGAACGAAUUUCAUAUCGCAAGUGUAAUUUCAGGCCGAAUAUAAAGUAAUCUUAUUUAUACAGAACAUUCGAAUUCGAAAGUUCAAAAUAACGUUCUAAUUCUGGAAUACUUAAGAAUUGUGUAAUAAUAGCCCAACAAGAACGGAAUGAAUAAUUCGAAGAUUGGUAAUUGGUUUUGCUCUGUGCAAACAGUCGAGAAUUCAAAUGGCUCGACCAGAGAUGAUGGGGCUCGUGAUAGUAAAAAUUUGAUUUAUACUGAUGAUGAUAAAGAUAAGAAUUCAUUCACAUCCAAAAUUUAUUCUAUUUUUGUAUAUCAAGCUUCUUUAAUGUUCUCUAUUUUAAAAUAUUCAGCGAAAAAUACUCUAGUCUCUGCCAAACUCACACGUGUGAUCUCUAAGCAAUGAGGAGUGGAUCUUAAAUAUCGGCGUUGUCGUGAGUGAUAAUAAAGACAUGUUUAUGACACGGCAAAUCAUAGAGUUUGGAUCGUGGACGAAACCGGAAAGAGAAAGGCCUUCGGCAGUCGUUACGCUUCAAAAUGGGAUAUAGUUAUCAAAGAUGACAAUUUGCUUCACUUUUACGAUUCUAAUGGGACGUUCAUCAAAAAUAUUUGCAAAAGAAUAUUAAGCAGGCCUUUCGGAUUGGUGCUGACAGAAGACGAAAAGUUAGUGACCCUAAGCGAGAGUAGGCAGCCGAAGUUGUACUGUACGUGUUUAACAAAGACGGUCAGCUGGAACAUAAGAGCUAUUAUCAGCCACUAUGGAACAGGCCAAAAAAUUCGAAAUGUCGUUUCAUGGUCACGUACAAUAACGAGUUGGUCUUAUACUUUGUGCAACCCCAUCCCCCUUUAAACUGUAUACGUAAAUAAUGAACUGCACCUUAAAGGCAAUUCAGAUCAGGACAUCGUUUCUCUUUCAUUCGUGUUAGCUGACUUUAUAUUUGCGGCGUUGGUUGACAUGGCUUGGCCUAUAAUGUGCUAGUGCUUUACAUUAAUUAAUCGAUCUCUCUAUCCAAAAAAAAAUUGCAAAUAAUAAGUUACUAAUAAGCAGCGUUGCAAGAAUUUGCUGUUUGCAGUUAUGGAAAUGACAGAAAAGGCAACAGUGUAAAUGGAUUUUAAAGGCAUAACACGAACAUUUAUUUUUUGUUGAAUGGCAUCCCAAUAUUUUGUACUGUCUACUGAAGCUUAAAAACAUUAAUAACAGCUUUGCUGCACUCUGGCAUAGAGUGGAUGAGUUUCUUUAAGUAUUCUAUAACAAGUUGUUGAUACCAACCCUACUUCUAAUAUAUGUUGCGGCGACAAAUCACGGACUGGUGAGAUGGCCACUCCUCUACGAGUUUUCCGUGAAUCCCGGAUGGAAAAACGGGGACUGGGUUUUUCCCAGAGAGAAUUCUGGGUAUUGUUGCUUCUUCUUCUUGUCGGGUGAUCGCUGCCAUGAACACGUGUAGCUCUCUUUCAAGUGUACUCGAGGAUUGUUGUAAAUAAAUGUUGUUUUAGUUUAAAACGUGGUCGUGGACUUAACUAAUUCACGUUUACAGCCUUCUGAUAAAGACAGUCUUUGUGGAGAUGUAAAUGGAUGGAGAAAGACGGCCAGGUUUCGUCUAACUGACGGCGGCCAUCCAUUACCUCCAAUGUGAUUGCUGUUUAUUUUCAGACGCUAUCGACAUAGUUUAGAUGGAGCAUAGACCUUAUUUUAUAGUCAGUUGUACAGCUUCGAAAGGGGAAACAGUUUACAAAAUUUAUUAGUAAAUAAAUCCUUGCUUC
RNAcentral lists this long non-coding RNA (1827 nucleotides) under Centruroides sculpturatus (bark scorpion). Its description in RNAcentral is "uncharacterized LOC111614400". Lineage: Eukaryota; Metazoa; Arthropoda; Arachnida; Scorpiones; Buthidae. The record is from RNAcentral.